AAACACGUUUAACACGGAACGAGACGUAAACUUCAUUUCAUUGAGUAUUUGACAUAAUGCUGCAGCCUGAGUUACUUGAACUUUUGGCUUCUAAUACACCAAGAAUUCUUGCAGAUAAAAUACCCGUAAUUCAAAACAGGGAUUCCGAAUGGACUGCAUUUCACCAUAAAGAAAUAGGGGACGAACGAGAUUCACCUUUUAGAUUCAGACCUGAACGUAUCCGCGUGGCUAUCGAAGAUGAAUAUUUUGAAGAUGGUGACGUACAUCGACACAUGUAUCUACAGGAUGUCGCAACGGCAUUUGCAGAAGAUUACCAACCUCCGACCAUCUCUGAAUUCAGAUGCCAUAUUGCUGGAUGCAAACAGUUCUUUGACACACUAGAAGGGUACGAGCAUCACUACAAUGCCUUACAUCGCAAUGUGUGCUCCAGCUGCAAGCGCUCAUUUCCAUCAAACAGACUCCUGGAAAUGCACAUCUUGGAGUGGCAUGACUCUCUUUUCCAGGUCAUGGCAGAGAAGCAGUGCAUGUAUGAGUGCUUGGUUGAGGGUUGUGGACUGAAAUUCAAAACCACGAAAGAGAGGAAAGAUCAUCUUAUUAAAACACACAGCUAUCCAGCAGACUUCAGAUUUGACAAAUCAAAGAAGAUUGGAAGUAAGCAUUUCAUACUGUGUGAUACAACAGAAUACGAGAAAAAAAGAAUCCAAAACAGAAGGAUGCACAAAUGGAGGUUUGUGAAACAGCAGCUAGUCAACCAGAAAGCUCCGAGUCAAUGGACUUCUCUCUGACCCCAGACACAGAAAGCCUGAAGACUUUAGAAACGGAUCCAAUGAAUACAGUCAAUGCAAAGCCACAAUAUUCAUACAGAGUUCCGUCAUCCAUUUGCUUUGGUCAUGGCUCGCUCAGAGGGUUUAGAGGAAAAAGAAGGAAGAAGUAGGCCAAGUCUUUUAUUAAAGGAAUACAAUAUAUCUUGUGUUCGCAUGUUUGGUAAAAAUAACUGUUUACAGACCAGUAUUUUUGUAAUAAAAGUUUCGUAAAGCAACA
RNA transcript from Paramisgurnus dabryanus, 1041 nucleotides. It is a transcript of the gene named zinc finger protein 511, with no coding region annotated. The record is from RefSeq and is a predicted model, not a curated record. Lineage: Eukaryota; Metazoa; Chordata; Actinopteri; Cypriniformes; Cobitidae.